Molecule: non-coding RNA, 190 nt
Organism: Nicotiana tabacum (common tobacco)
Lineage: Eukaryota; Viridiplantae; Streptophyta; Magnoliopsida; Solanales; Solanaceae
Source: RefSeq, a predicted model, not a curated record
UCUGAAGUAUCUCAGGGUGGUAACAUUUCUGCAGGGACCUUGGCAACUCAAAGCUAUCUGGUCAUUUGGUACCUGAACUUGGAAAGCUCGAACAUCUACAGUAUUUGGAGCUUUACAAAAAUAAUAUUCAGGGAACCAUCCCUAAAGAGCUUGGUAACUUGAAGAGCCUUAUCAGUCUGGAUCUGUACAA